This 430-nucleotide ribosomal RNA is filed under the name Pseudomonadota bacterium. Its description in RNAcentral is "Proteobacteria bacterium partial 16S ribosomal RNA". It matches the Rfam family "Bacterial small subunit ribosomal RNA", at positions 355 to 776 of the family's 1533-position model. Lineage: Bacteria; Pseudomonadati; Pseudomonadota. The record is from RNAcentral.
UGGGGAAUAUUGGACAAUGGGGGGAACCCUGAUCCAGCCAUGCCGCGUGUGUGAAGAAGGCCUUAUGGUUGUAAAGCACUUUAAGCGAGGAGGAGGGUACUGGUAUUAAUACUACCAGCUACUGGACGUUACUCGCAGAAUAAGCAUCGGCUAACUCUGUGCCAGCAGCCGCGGUAAUACAGAGGGUGCGAGCGUUAAUCGGAUUUACUGGGCGUAAAGCGUGCGUAGGCGGCUAAUUGAGUCGGAUGUGAAAUCCCCGAGCUUAACUUGGGAAUUGCAUUCGAUACUGGUUAGCUAGAGUGUGGGAGAGGAUGGUAGAAUUCCAGGUGUAGCGGUGAAAUGCGUAGAGAUCUGGAGGAAUACCGAUGGCGAAGGCAGCCAUCUGGCCUAACACUGACGCUGAGGUACGAAAGCAUGGGGAGCAAACAGG